RNAcentral lists this ribosomal RNA (708 nucleotides) under Tephrocybe sp. LIP PAM04112801. RNAcentral describes it as "eukaryotic LSU rRNA". The stretch from base 287 to 440 matches the Rfam family "5.8S ribosomal RNA". The record is from RNAcentral. Lineage: Eukaryota; Fungi; Basidiomycota; Agaricomycetes; Agaricales; Lyophyllaceae.
GGAAGUAAAAGUCGUAACAAGGUUUCCGUAGGUGAACCUGCGGAAGGAUCAUUAUUGAAUAAACUUGGUUGGGUUGUUGCUGGCCUUUUGGGGCAUGUGCACGCCUAGCGCCAUUUUUACCACCUGUGCACUCAUUGUAGACUCGGAUUAACCCUCCGAGGCAACUCGGUCUGAGGAUUGUCGUGCGAAAGCAGACUUCCCUUGCUAUUCCAGUCUAUGUUUCUUAUUACCCCCUAUAAAUGUAAAUGAAUGUCUUUAAAUGGCCCUAGUGCCUUUAAUCAAAUACAACUUUCAACAACGGAUCUCUUGGCUCUCGCAUCGAUGAAGAACGCAGCGAAAUGCGAUAAGUAAUGUGAAUUGCAGAAUUCAGUGAAUCAUCGAAUCUUUGAACGCACCUUGCGCUCCUUGGUAUUCCGAGGAGCAUGCCUGUUUGAGUGUCAUUAAUCUAUCGACCUUCCAUGUUUUUAUUUAUUAACUUGUGAGGCUCGGAUGUGGGUGUUGCAGGCUUUAUCAGAAGUCAGCUCUCCUUAAAAGCAUUGGUGAAACCUCUGUUGAUCAUCCCUGGUGUGAUAAUUAUCUACGCCAUAGUGAAUCAACUUAGUUUGUAGGUUUUGCUUACAACCGUCCCUCAUGGACAAAUUAUGACAUUUGACCUCAAAUCAGGUAGGACUACCCGCUGAACUUAAGCAUAUCAAUAAGCGGAGGAAA